UACGUAGGGUGCAAGCGUUGUUCGGAAUUACUGGGCGUAAAGGGCGCGUAGGCGGCGAACCAAGUCAGAUGUGAAAUCCCUGGGCUCAACCCAGGAACUGCAUUUGAAACUCCCUUUCUUGAGUGUCGGAGAGGAAAGCGGAAUUCCUGGUGUAGAGGUGAAAUUCGUAGAUAUCAGGAGGAACACCGGUGGCGAAGGCGGCUUUCUGGACGACAACUGACGCUGAGACGCGAAAGCGUGGGGAGCAAACAGG
This 253-nucleotide ribosomal RNA is filed under the name uncultured bacterium. Its description in RNAcentral is "partial 16S ribosomal RNA". It matches the Rfam family "Bacterial small subunit ribosomal RNA", at positions 524 to 776 of the family's 1533-position model. The record is from RNAcentral.